This 491-nucleotide ribosomal RNA is filed under the name uncultured bacterium. RNAcentral describes it as "partial 16S ribosomal RNA". It matches the Rfam family "Bacterial small subunit ribosomal RNA", at positions 28 to 507 of the family's 1533-position model. The record is from RNAcentral.
GAUGAACGCUGGCUACAGGCUUAACACAUGCAAGUCGAGGGGAAACGACGGGGAAGCUUGCUUCCCCGGGCGUCGACCGGCGCACGGGUGAGUAACGCGUAUCCAACCUGCCUCUGACUGAGGGAUAACCCGUCGAAAGUCGGCCUAAUACCUCAUGGCCUCUUCUGCUGGCAUCCAACUACGAUUAAAGAUUUCAUCGGUCAGGGAUGGUGAUGCGUCUGAUUAGCUUUUUGGCGGGGUAACGGCCCACCAAGGCUACGAUCAGUAGGGGUUCUGAGAGGAAGGUCCCCCACAUUGGAACUGAGACACGGUCCAAACUCCUACGGGAGGCAGCAGUGAGGAAUAUUGGUCAAUGGGCGGGAGCCUGAACCAGCCAAGUAGCGUGCAGGAUGACGGCCCUAUGGGUUGUAAACUGCUUUUAGGCGGGGAUAAAGUGAGGGACGUGUCCUUCAUUGCAGGUACCGAAUGAAUAAGGACCGGCUAAUUCCGUG